Molecule: ribosomal RNA, 465 nt
Filed under: Vreelandella stevensii
Lineage: Bacteria; Pseudomonadati; Pseudomonadota; Gammaproteobacteria; Oceanospirillales; Halomonadaceae
Description: partial 16S ribosomal RNA
Rfam family: Bacterial small subunit ribosomal RNA
Source: RNAcentral
CCUACGGGCGGCAGCAGUGGGGAAUAUUGGACAAUGGGCGAAAGCCUGAUCCAGCCAUGCCGCGUGUGUGAAGAAGGCCUUCGGGUUGUAAAGCACUUUCAGUGGGGAAGAAAGCCUUGGGGCUAAUACCCUCGAGGAAGGACAUCACCCACAGAAGAAGCACCGGCUAACUCCGUGCCAGCAGCCGCGGUAAUACGGAGGGUGCGAGCGUUAAUCGGAAUUACGGGGCGUAAAGCGCGCGUAGGCGGUCUGAUAAGCCGGUUGUGAAAGCCCCGGGCUCAACCUGGGAACGGCAUCCGGAACUGUCAGGCUAGAGUGCAGGAGAGGAAGGUAGAAUUCCCGGUGUAGCGGUGAAAUGCGUAGAGAUCGGGAGGAAUACCAGUGGCGAAGGCGGCCUUCUGGACUGACACUGACGCUGAGGUGCGAAAGCGUGGGUAGCAAACAGGAUUAGAUACCCGAGUAGUC